CCAACUGCAUCGAUGUUGUCAUAAUAAGAAGGGGCGCUCUUCUCAAAGCUAGUAGCAUGAGAAGGUUUUGAGGUGUCAAAAGAUGCUGAACCAUAAGGUUUUGAAGCACCAAAAGAUGCUGCGGAACCAUAAGGUUUUGAAGACGCUGAACCAUAUGUAGGAGUUGGGAGGGCAACUCUCUGAGGAGCAUUGGCAUUUCGACGACUAUUUAAUAAAAAUAAACAGAGCAACCAAAAUUGUCAGAAACUUCACUGAAGGUUUAUUUCAGAAAAGAAAAUCAUAGAUUGUAUAGAACAAAAG
Molecule: long non-coding RNA, 300 nt
Filed under: Vigna radiata
Lineage: Eukaryota; Viridiplantae; Streptophyta; Magnoliopsida; Fabales; Fabaceae
Description: long non-coding RNA (VRAD_LNC000398)
Source: RNAcentral